RNAcentral lists this ribosomal RNA (256 nucleotides) under Niallia circulans. RNAcentral's name for it is "Bacillus circulans partial 16S ribosomal RNA". It matches the Rfam family "Bacterial small subunit ribosomal RNA", at positions 504 to 759 of the family's 1533-position model. Lineage: Bacteria; Bacillati; Bacillota; Bacilli; Caryophanales; Bacillaceae. The record is from RNAcentral.
CGUGCCAGCAGCCGCGGUAAUACGUAGGUGGCAAGCGUUGUCCGGAAUUAUUGGGCGUAAAGCGCGCGCAGGCGGUCCUUUAAGUCUGAUGUGAAAGCCCACGGCUCAACCGUGGAGGGUCAUUGGAAACUGGGGGACUUGAGUGCAGAAGAGAAGAGUGGAAUUCCACGUGUAGCGGUGAAAUGCGUAGAGAUGUGGAGGAACACCAGUGGCGAAGGCGACUCUUUGGUCUGUAACUGAGGCUGAGGCGCGAAAG